GUUGAGGUCUAUCAGGAUGACUUUGUCUGUUGACCCUCAUCAUUUGAAAUGCCUCAUAGAGUAGCUAUGUGGUUUGCUUUACUCUCUGAACUAUUGCUUGUAUCUGUAGGGAAGAACUACAAGACAAAU
Small nucleolar RNA from Echinops telfairi (small Madagascar hedgehog), 129 nucleotides. NCBI's taxonomy places the organism in Eukaryota, Metazoa, Chordata, Mammalia, Afrosoricida, Tenrecidae. The record is from Ensembl.